RNAcentral lists this ribosomal RNA (323 nucleotides) under Assulina sp. RNAcentral's name for it is "SSU rRNA". The stretch from base 105 to 323 matches the Rfam family "Eukaryotic small subunit ribosomal RNA", at positions 735 to 955 of the family's 1831-position model. The record is from RNAcentral. Lineage: Eukaryota; Cercozoa; Imbricatea; Euglyphida; Euglyphidae.
GAUUUCUGGCGAACCGGCUCAACCCGAUUACGUAUAUGAUUGAGUGCUGCGUCGUGUUGGUCAUCCUUCCGGAAAGCUGCGUCUACCAUUCAGUUGGCCGGACGUACGUGAUCCGGAUCUAUUACUUUGAAAAAAUUAGAGUGUUUAAAGCAGGCUUACGCUAUGAAUACAUUAGCAUGGAAUAAUAAUUUAGGACUUCGGUUCUAUUUUGUUGGUUUCUAGGACUGAAGUAAUGAUUGAUAGGGAUAGUUGGGGGUGCUAGUAUUCCGCGGCCAGAGGUGAAAUUCUUGGAUUCGUGGAAGGCUAACUACUGCGAAAGCAUU